This is a long non-coding RNA of Neocloeon triangulifer, 910 nucleotides long. RefSeq lists it as uncharacterized. The record is from RefSeq and is a predicted model, not a curated record. Lineage: Eukaryota; Metazoa; Arthropoda; Insecta; Ephemeroptera; Baetidae. The transcript is spliced from 3 exons.
CAGUGACUAAGAAGCCCACACCAAAUAUACACAAGCGACAAAUCAAACGAUAUUUUUGCAGCAAAACCAGCAAACUGGAUUUCCUGAGUUGAAAGAUCUUACUCCAUGAUGAAAAAAGCUGCUUAUGGAAAUGGAAUUGGACAGUACACAUUUUCAUGCACAUAUUUAUGACAAAACAAAAAUGAGAUGUCAAAUAGCCACCCAGAGACAAGAAAGGCAACUGAAUGCAAAAAAACAAUCUUCAUAACUUCUUAUCGUCAAUGCUUCUCCUCUACUCAACAAUUCUAUAUGUAAUGUAAUGUAAUUAGUUUUUUUCACUCUCUUUUUAAGUUACAUUUUAAUUUAUUGAACUUAUAGCAGUUAUUUGUCAAAUUUAUAAACUAUUCCAUAUCAUGCAGAUAAUUAUUCAACUCCAACAGACAAUGAUCAUAUACUUUAAAAAAAAAUUGUUUUAAAAGUCAAAGUUUAUCACUUUUCUUUACGCAGUACAUUUAAUUUAAAACAUUGUAACAUGUUCAUAAUUUUAUUAUUUUGCGCUUUAUUUUUCUUAAUUUUGCACUAGUAAGAAAAUUAAAUAAAUCAUUGUUUAUUCUUGAAGGUGAGAGUCUUAUGUAUUUAGAGAUAUAAGUGCGAAUAUCUUCUUCUUAACAACUUUGCAACUUUGUGUGCUAAUUCUUAUUCUGUUUUUGUGAUAAUUGGAAGCAAGUGAAGAAAACGGGCUUAGUCCUCCUUGUAAAAAUUGAUUUUAUCAUAAACAAAGUCUCUAUCAGUUUUGGUCACAGUCUGCGACCCUAUUUCAUGAGCAAAAACGGAGCUCACUAAAAAAGUACAAAAACAAUAAAAAAUAAAAGAAAUAAUUUUUUCAAUGAGGACUAAGCCCAUUUUCUUCAUUUCCAUAAUUGUCUCCUUG